AUUGAACGCUGGCGGCAGGCCUAACACAUGCAAGUCGAACGGUAGCAGGAAGAAGCUUGCUUCUUUGCUGACGAGUGGCGGACGGGUGAGUAAUGUCUGGGAAACUGCCUGAUGGAGGGGGAUAACUACUGGAAACGGUAGCUAAUACCGCAUAACGUCGCAAGACCAAAGAGGGGGACCUUCGGGCCUCUUGCCAUCAGAUGUGCCCAGAUGGGAUUAGCUAGUAGGUGGGGUAACGGCUCACCUAGGCGACGAUCCCUAGCUGGUCUGAGAGGAUGACCAGCCACAAUGGAACUGAGAAACGGUACAGACUCCUACGGGAGGCAGCAGGGGGGAAUAUUGCACAAUGGGCGCAAUCCUGAUGCAGCCGUGUCGCGUGUGUGAAGAAGGCCUUCGGGUUGUAAAGCACUUUCAGCGGGGAGGAAGGGGGAAUGGUUAAUAACCAUUGUCAUUGACGUUACCCGCAGAAGAAGCACCGGCUAACUCCGUGCCAGCAGCCGCAGUAA
Molecule: ribosomal RNA, 506 nt
Filed under: uncultured bacterium
Lineage: Bacteria
Description: partial 16S ribosomal RNA
Rfam family: Bacterial small subunit ribosomal RNA
Source: RNAcentral